CUUCCAAAAUUUUGAGUAGAAGUCCCAAGAUGAGAGUGUUAACCUUCCUAAACCGUUUAGAAUGCAUGUUUAGCUAGUCUACUAGGUGUUAUGGCUUUAGGGUUAGCAAUUUUAUUAGACUUAGCAACUUUGCCUUGAAAUUUUCCAUCAUGUCGCACCUAUCAUCUCUCACCUUCCAAAAUUUUGAGUAGAAGUCCUAAUAUAAGAGUGUUAACUUCCUAAACCGUUUAGAAUGCAUGUUUAGCUAGCAAUUUUAUUAGACUUAGCAACUUUGCCUUGAAGUUUUCCAUCAUCUCGCACCUAUCAGCACCUAUCUCGCACCUUCCAAAAUUUUGAGUAGAAGUCCCAAUAUAAGAGUGUUAACUUCCUAAACCGUUUAGAAUGCAUGUUUAUCUAGUCUACUAGGUGUUAAGGCUUUAGGGUUAGCAAUUCUAUUAGACUUAGCAACUUUGCCUUGAAGUUUUCCAUCAUCUCGCACCUAUCAGCACCUAUCUCGCACCUUCCAAAAUUUUGAGUAGAAGUCCCAAUAUAAGAGUGUAAACUUCCUAAACCGUUUAGAAUGUAUGUUUAGGGACUCUACUAGGUGUUAAGGCUUUAGGGUUAGCAAUUUUAUUAGACAUAGCAACUUUGCCUUGAAGUUUUCCAUCAUCUCGCACCUAUCAACACCUAUCUCGCACCUUCCAAAAUUUUGAGUAGAAGUCCCAAUAUAAAAGUGUAAACUUCCUAAACCGUUUAGAAUGCAUGUUUAGGGACUUUACUAGGUGUUAAGGCUUUAGGGUUAGCAAUUUUAUUAGACUUAGCAACUUUGCCUUGAAAUUUUUCAUCAUCUCGCACCUAUCAUCUCUCACCUUCCAAAAUUUUGAGUAGAAGUCUCAAUAUAAGAGUGUUAACUUCCUAAACCGUUUAGAAUGCAUGUUUAGCUAGCAAUUUUAUUAGACUUAGCAACUUUGCCUUGAAGUUUUCUAUCAUAUUGCACCUAUCAGCACCUAUCUCGCACCUUCCAAAAUUUUGAGUAGAAGUCCCAAUAUAAGAGUGUUAACUUCCUAAAC
This 1049-nucleotide long non-coding RNA is filed under the name Cucumis sativus (cucumber). Its description in RNAcentral is "long non-coding RNA (CSAT_LNC001515)". Lineage: Eukaryota; Viridiplantae; Streptophyta; Magnoliopsida; Cucurbitales; Cucurbitaceae. The record is from RNAcentral.